Molecule: non-coding RNA, 72 nt
Organism: Euleptes europaea (tarantolino)
Lineage: Eukaryota; Metazoa; Chordata; Lepidosauria; Squamata; Sphaerodactylidae
Source: the annotation of a RefSeq genome assembly
GGGGUCGUGGCUCAGUGGUAGAGCAUCAGCUUGCCAUGCAGAAGGUCCCAGGUUCAAUCCCUGGCGGCAUCU